This 253-nucleotide ribosomal RNA is filed under the name uncultured bacterium. Its description in RNAcentral is "partial 16S ribosomal RNA". It matches the Rfam family "Bacterial small subunit ribosomal RNA", at positions 524 to 776 of the family's 1533-position model. The record is from RNAcentral.
UACGGGGGGAGCAAGCGUUGUUCGGAUUUACUGGGCGUAAAGGGCGCGUAGGCGGCGCAACAAGUCACUUGUGAAAUCUCCGGGCUUAACUCGGAAAGGUCAAGUGAUACUGUUGUGCUAGAGUGCGGAAGGGGCAACUGGAAUUCUCGGUGUAGCGGUGAAAUGCGUAGAUAUCGAGAGGAACACCUGCGGUGAAGGCGGUUGCCUGGAGCUUUGCUGACGCUGAUGCGCGAAAGCGUGGGGAGCGAUCCGG